Molecule: ribosomal RNA, 514 nt
Filed under: Solemya velesiana
Lineage: Eukaryota; Metazoa; Mollusca; Bivalvia; Solemyida; Solemyidae
Description: partial 16S ribosomal RNA
Rfam family: Bacterial large subunit ribosomal RNA
Source: RNAcentral
CGCUUUUUGUUGUAUUGAAUAUAAAAAGUAGAGCCUGCCCAGUGAAGUGAAAUUUAAACGGCCGCAGUACCCUGACUGUGCGAAGGUAGCAUAAUCAUUUGCUCUUUAAUUAGGAGCUGGAAUGAAUGGUUUGACGAGGGUUUAACUGUCUUAAAUUAAUUUAUUAAAAAUUGACUUUUAGGUGAAAAGGCCUAAAUUAAGCUAGAGGACAAGAAGACCCUAUUGAGCUUUAAUUACUUUUCAAGUUAUUAACAUAUAAAUAUAGUUUAGUUUGGAAAAUGAUUUGGAUUGGGGCGAUCAAGGAAAAUAAUAAACUUCCUUUUAUUUUACUAGAAAUAUAGUUUAGUGAUCCAAAAUUUUUGAUUAUAAGAAUAAGUUACCAUAGGGAUAACAGCGUAAUCCUUUUUGAGAGUUCUUAUCGAAAAAAGGGGUUGCGACCUCGAUGUUGGACUAAGAUGUCCUGAAGGUGUAGCAGCUUUUAAGGGUUGGUCUGUUCGACCAUUAAAAUCUUACA